GCGGCAACACAGAGGGAAACGCACCUGACACCCCCCUUCCCUGAUGUAAAUGCCAAGGCAGCAAAUCAAUUUUGCAAGCAGCACGUCCUCUCUCUGCAGCUGGCCCCGGGAGGCUUAACCGAAUCCCUCUGGAACACAGUCAGAAGAUGGCCCGGAUGCACAAACCCCCGCCCUCCAAUAUCCGGGCCACCCGGCCACUGGGCCCAGGCCAGCGGCAGGAAGUCACCCAGGAGGCCCCUCCGCCCCCACCAGAGCCACAGGGGAGCGGCCCCCUCCCGCAGCGCCAACCGGAAAGAAAUCUCCGGGAGGGGUCACCCCACAGCCUGCCCUGCACCUGGAGGGCAUGUCGCCGGAAAGGGAGCCCAGCCCCUCAAAGCCGUGGGGCUGGGCCUGCACGAGGCUCCCUGGAAGCCAUCCCUGGGAUACCUCUGUGCCAGACAAUUCCGGCUCCUGCUGCAGAGCUCCACUGAAACGUCACUGCUUGAAAAGGUCCUCCGUGACCCCCACAGCCUGGGUCAGGGUCCUGCUGUGUGCUCCCCAGACGUCCCUGAGCUAGCUGGGUUCCCCCCAAAAGUGGAGCUUGAGGCUGGGAGAGCGAGAGAGAGAGCAAGCGACCACACAUGCAGCGGGAGCAGCAGAGGGAGAGAGAG
This is a long non-coding RNA of Canis lupus familiaris (dog), 650 nucleotides long. RefSeq lists it as uncharacterized. NCBI's taxonomy places the organism in Eukaryota, Metazoa, Chordata, Mammalia, Carnivora, Canidae. The transcript is spliced from 4 exons. The record is from RefSeq and is a predicted model, not a curated record.